GGCCAUUGUGAGGUGCUCCAGACAGAACAUGCAGUGGUGCUCCGAGAAGCAGCUGUAGGUGCAGUACCUGUUCGAAGGCAUUGUACCAUAGCAGCACGGCAAGCACAGCGCACCAGCAAACAGUCCCUUGGCCAGCAGCCACCUGGACCAGGCCAGAACUCCUGUCCAGAAGUGAGUGGGUGGGGGGUCCUCGGGAUAGCCUCUAUCCUCGCAAUGGUCAUGAGGUGUAUGAGGGAACUCCGGACCGACUCUUACACUGGGCAAAGGGGAUUAGAUGGAGAAAAAUGCCUUCAUGGAAGAGGUUUUCUCCCGUGCAGAUCAGGCACGAGGCAGGAAGUGAACUUUUGAAAUCAGCUGCUCUGCCUCCAGGAAACGUCACUCACAUCCUCAUGAAUGACACGACCCGUGCCCACUGCUCACGAUCCACCUAACUAAAAUCGAGAGUUGGUUUGGGUUUGAGGACUUGAAAUAACUUUGAAACAAAAGAAAUCACCUUUUUCUUCUCUCUUUCUUUCAGAUGCUGGACUUGGCUCUGUGGGUGUGUGCUGAGCUCUUGCUGCAGGGGACUUUCAGCCCUGAAUGGCUGGACUGUGCCUCUGCCUGCUAAAAUUCCGAACAGAUCAAGAUUUCUGUCAGACCCAAGCUGCCACCACUUAGAAGCCCGGCUGCCUUUGGAGUGACAAACGCCUCCUCCAAACUGGUAUCAGGAAAGUGGGACGGCAAGUCACCAUGCAAGCUCACUUUCAGUCAUAGAGUGUAAGUGGAAAUCAUCGUGGUGCGGCGUCCGGACUUGAGAGCGGUAUUCCGCAGCAAAUCUGACCU
Molecule: non-coding RNA, 822 nt
Organism: Sturnus vulgaris (Common starling)
Lineage: Eukaryota; Metazoa; Chordata; Aves; Passeriformes; Sturnidae
Source: RefSeq, a predicted model, not a curated record